Molecule: long non-coding RNA, 1867 nt
Filed under: Zea mays
Lineage: Eukaryota; Viridiplantae; Streptophyta; Magnoliopsida; Poales; Poaceae
Description: long non-coding RNA (ZMAY_LNC003064)
Source: RNAcentral
UUCAAUCGUCUACACUUGUUUUGCACUAGAUGGACAAGUCUGGCAAGGUCAUUGCUAAGUGGGAUAGUAGAGCAACAAAAAUUUACACAGAAAUAUGUGUAGAAGAGGUCAAUGCACGGAACAGGCCACAACAAUUCCUAAACGCCGAAGGGUAUGCUAACCUGAUAAGAAAGUUUAAGGAACGCACUGGUCGCACGUACACAAGGGAUCAAAUGAAGAAUAGGUGGGACUCGUUGAAGAGAAUGUUCACCCAGUGGAAAACUCUAAAUGAAAGGGCUACAGGUCUUGGUCGAGACCCUCAUACUGGUUCAAUCAGUGCGCCAGAUGAGUGGUGGGCCAAGCAAAAUGAAGUAAGUAGAUCUUUUUUUUUGUUUUGUAGACUAACAAUAGUAUUUGGCCAUCUCAAACUAGGAACUACCAUGUUGGUGCAGGCAAUGCCAGGUUGUAUUAUGUUCAAAACAGCCCCCCUAGAGAAUGAGGAUGAGCUAAAGGUUAUGUUUGGACCCAUUGUCUGCACAAAUGAAAGAACCCUGGUUCCUGGAGUUGAGGAUGCUAAUUCAUCAUCUGAUGAUCAUUUGGAAGCCACUUUAGGUGGGGGUGAAAACAGCACACCUGACCCCUGCACAAAUGCUACUGGGAAGCGUAAGAUGCGCCAUGAUUCUCCAAAACCAAAGAAGAAAAAAGAUUCGAGGGAAGAGUACAUGAGAAGACUAGUGGAGGCUUUUGAGUCGCGUUCAAUGACCACUAACAAGUCCAUUACCUCUACUGACAAUGACCCUGUUCGACUUGAGAUUAAAAAGCAGCUGCAACAAGUUAUGGAUGAUGGAUCACUAGAAGGAAGCCAAUUACAUUUGUUUGCCACUCAUCUAUUGACUGAGAAAAAGUAUAGAGAUAUUUUUGCAAACUUGCAUACAAAAGAAGGAAGGAUAGCUUGGCUUCGUAAUGCUUACGAGAUAGAUCUUAAAAAGUGCACUUAGCUGCUGGUGGUCCGACAACAGAGGCUUAUUCAGUAUUACCGUUAUGUCGGUCUGUUUUAUGAGUCAUGUCGUUUCAUUGUAGUGAGUAAUAAACUUGUCGUGCGCAUCAGUUUCCCUUGAAAACAGUUUUCCAGAUAUUCAAGUUGAACUUGUAUUUGAAUAAUCUGAGUUGUCUGCUUGUGAACAAUGUGAACGUUCUGUCUCAUUUGAAUACUGAAUAUAUGUGCCUUGUAAACUGUGGUUGUACAUUGAUAUGUCAAGUGUUGUUACAUAUGAAUAUGUCUCUGGUUUUUGUGUGCAUGCAGAUGUCUGACCCUGCUGCACACACAUUUGAUAAUGAAAUGGAUGACAGAGAUGCAGAAUUGGUGGUUGCUAUAUGUGCUGUAGAUGUUUGGGGCAGGAAUAUCAGUCAGGUUCCUAGAAGAACAUUGGUUGAAACUGGUUUGCAAUGGGUGGAGAGAACGUUGGACAAUAGUAACAACUGCUUCGAUAUGUUUCGCAUGCGACGAACUGUGUUUAGACGAUUGCAUGACACAUUGGUGCACAAUUAUGGUCUGAUUCCAAGCCGGGGUGUCAGUACUAUGGAAGCACUUGGCAUAUUUUUGUGGGCAUGUGGUGGUCCACAGUCCUUUAGGCAAAUACGAAAUAAGUUUGGUCACUCCUUGGAAACAAUUAGUCGCAAGUAUAGUGAAGUCCUUGAUGCACUGUUUAAGAUGUCAUCUGACAUCAUUAAGCCCAAAGACCCAUAUUUCACCGAGAUUCAUCCGCGUUUGCGAGAGGCGAGAUUUUGGCCACACUUCAAGGACUGCAUAGGAGCAAUUGAUGGUAGUCACUUUCCAGCGGCAGUCCCGGCCUCAGAGCAAGCCAAAUAUAUUGGACGGCACGGUUAC